UCAUGUAAUUGAAACACUUUUAGCUUAGAAAAGAGCAGAGCAGAGGGUAACUAGCUCAGAAUUUUUAGUUGGUGGCAUGUAUUUAUGAGAUGGAAAAGUCUAUGUCUGAGAGGGGACAGAGGCUUAUCUUCUAGCGUGGAAAGGAGAAGGGGAUGGAAGAAUCACUGAAGAGGAGAAUACAGACCAAUCUCACUCCCGUGACCCCACCCAGAAGUGAUUCAAUGCAAGAGGACAGCUUGGAUCUCCUAUGACUUCAUCUCUGCCCCAACCCAUCAGCAGCAAGCACUCAUUGCCUAGCAACCACCGGCCCUUACCCCACACUGUCUUUGAAAAGCUCCUGCUUAUGAGCCUUGGAUGAGACUGAUUUGAGUGUUAACUCCACCUCCCACGUGGCGUGGCUGGCCUCCUGUCUGUGAAACUCUUUCUUUAUUGCAGUGUUGUGGUCUUUAUUUGCGCAGUGGGCAGGAAGAACCCCUUGGGUAGUUACAAAAGGUCACCUGGAAAUGAAGUGACAACUAAUUAGAUAUCUUAUCAAAAUGAAUGUAGUGACCCUGGCACAGCCCAAAACAACCACGCCCCUAAAAAGAAGAACAUUGAAAGAGGAAAUUGGGAACCUAAGCCUUUUCUGAGGACAUUCUGGAAGGUCCAUUAUGACACAUUUCAAUUCCCAGAAUUGAAGAAGUGUGGGUCUGCUGUCUCAUUAUGGUAAAGUCUACACUUAGGAAACCCUCAGACAUACUCUUUGAUCAAAAUGAUGCUCAUAACAUUCUGUUUUUUCAAGGCCGAAGGAUCAGUGCCCCCCGCCCCACUCUUGUCCAUUACCGAGAGCAUCCUCACAGUCCAUUGGAAAGUCCAUCAUGAAGUAACGAAUUUGUUCUCUGUGUUUAUCACCUGAAUAAUAGAUUCAGGGCCCAUCAUCUCCUGGAAAGCUAUUAAUCAUACACUGCAGUGUGGCACAGGUUUGAUGGGUUGGCCUCAAAACCAUGCCUGGCUGGAUUGGAAUUGUGGAUGAUGUUCAAUAACUGCCUUCAGAAACUAUUCAAGACAUUUAAUGAAGACACUUUUUUCUCCAUGUUUCUCUUAGGGACAAAAAAUAUAGCCAAUAGCUUUUUCCUCCUGAUUGCAAGUGCUUUCCGAAAUCCUCUGUCUUCUUAAUGGAAGAAGAUUUCUAUCUUGGCUCCUAUUAUUUGAGAGAUGUGAAAAGCAGAUUCUCCAAAUAUAUGUGAGAAACAAAACAAAAAAACCAUUUAUGAAAAGUACAAAAAGUCGCACACAUAAUAAAAGCUAAGCCCUUCCUUUCUUCCUCCUUGGUUAACUUUGGAGCCUUGAUAAAAGACAAUCUGAACAAAGAGCUCUUUAGAACAACUACAAAAAGUUUCACAAAUGCAGCGAGCAAUUACAAACUCUGUUUCAAUGGGCCUCAGAGCCACACAUAGAGAGCCAGGGUUGCCCAAGGCCGUUUCCAAGAACAUUUCUGAAGUUGGGCUUAAAACAAUUUGUUUCCAUUAUCUUUUACUCAAGGUGGGUUCUGGAAUAAUCUAUGGAAUCAUUUGCAAAAUUCAGCAUAAACUUCUCCUUGCAGAAACUCUGGUGACAUAUCAUUUGGCUGAAUCUCACAUGAUAGAUACUAAUGAGAAAUGCGAGCAUGGGUUUGAUAUAGUAUGGGCUUCCUUUUUGUAGCUAAGACAAGCCAAUUCCUGAGAAGACAUGGAUUAAAAAAAAUUGUGUCAUAUUCAUCAUUAGACACCCUUGUAUUUAAUCUACUGUACAUGUCUAAAUAAAAUUGCAAAGUGACAGGAUUCAACUUCGCAUUAAUCAUCACUUGAAAAUGGGGAGAGUGAGAAAGGAUGGCAUCUCCUUGGGGCCCAUGGACAAGGAGAAGUUUCAAAUUAUUAAGCAGAGAAAACGGAAUGUGGCUUUGCAAAGGCAAGUCAGAGCAAGCUCGCUCCAGUCUGGAGUUGUUCAAAAGGUAUAGCAGUGGCGGCAGCUGAAAAAAACCUUGAUUCUAUGAACUCACUCACGCAAUUUAAAGUCCAAAGCAUGGCUUCAUAUGUUUGAAAAACUCUAGUAUAUAGUGUGCAUUUUAAUUAUAAAAGUCAAUCAGCCAGGCACGGUGGCUCACACCUGUA
Molecule: long non-coding RNA, 2129 nt
Filed under: Homo sapiens (human)
Lineage: Eukaryota; Metazoa; Chordata; Mammalia; Primates; Hominidae
Description: HSALNT0371643
Source: RNAcentral